This 434-nucleotide ribosomal RNA is filed under the name uncultured bacterium. Its description in RNAcentral is "partial 16S ribosomal RNA". It matches the Rfam family "Bacterial small subunit ribosomal RNA", at positions 35 to 507 of the family's 1533-position model. The record is from RNAcentral.
GGGGGGGGGGGGGGGGGGGGGGGGGAGGGGCGGGGCGAGCGGGGGGGGCGGGGGUGGGGGCGGGCGGGUGGGUGGCGCGUGGGGAGGGGCCUUGCGGUUCGGAGUAACUCAGGGAGACGUGUGCUGAUACCGAGUGUGCCCUACGGGGGAAAGCUUGAUCGCCUUUCGAGCGGCGCGCGUCUGCUUCGCUAGUUGGUUGAGGUAAUGGCUCACCAAGGCGACGAUCAGUAGCUGGUCUGAGAGGAUGAUCAGCCACAUUGGGACUGAGACACGGCCCAAACUCCUACGGGAGGCAGCAGUGGGGAAUCUUGCGCAAUGGGCGAAAGCCUGACGCAGCCAUGCCGCGUGAAUGAUGAAGGUCUUAGGAUUGUAAAAUUCUUUCACCGGGGACGAUAAUGACGGUACCCGGAGAAGAAGCCCCGGCUAACUUCGUG